Molecule: ribosomal RNA, 553 nt
Filed under: uncultured archaeon
Lineage: Archaea
Description: bacterial SSU rRNA
Rfam family: Archaeal small subunit ribosomal RNA
Source: RNAcentral
ACGGGGUGCAGCAGGCGCGAAAACUUCACACUGGGGGGAACCCCGAUGAGGGAAUUCCUAGUGCUUGGGCAUUUGUCCAAGCUUUUCCCGAGCGUAGAUAACUCGGGGAAUAAGGGCUGGGUAAGACGGGUGCCAGCCGCCGCGGUAAUACCUGCAGCCCGAGUGGUGGUCGAUUUUAUUGAGUCUAAAGCGUUCGUAGCCGGUCCGUUAAAUCCUUGGGUAAAUCGGGAAGCUCAACUUUCCGACUUCCGAGGAGACUGGCGGACUUGGGACCGGGAGAGGCCAGAGGUACUUCUGGGGUAGGGGUAAAAUCCUGUAAUCCUAGAAGGACCACCGGUGGCGAAGGCGUCUGGCUAGAACGGAUCCGACGGUGAGGGACGAAGCCCUGGGUCGCAAACGGGAUUAGAUACCCCGGUAGUCCAGGGUGUAAACGCUGCCGACUUGGUGUUGGGGGCCCUUCGCGGGAACUCAGUGCCGGAGAGAAGUUGUUAAGUCGGCCACUUGGGGAGUACGUCCGCAAGGAUGAAACUUAAAGGAAUUGGCGGGGGAGCAC